GACGAACGCUGGCAGCGUGCCUAAUACAUGCAAGUAGAACGCUGAAGGAGGAGCUUGCUUCUCUGGAUGAGUUGCGAACGGGUGAGUAACGCGUAGGUAACCUGCCUGGUAGCGGGGGAUAACUAUUGGAAACGAUAGCUAAUACCGCAUAAGAGUAGAUGUUGCAUGACAUUUGCUUAAAAGGUGCAAUUGCAUCACUACCAGAUGGACCUGCGUUGUAUUAGCUAGUUGGUGGGGUAACGGCUCACCAAGGCGACGAUACAUAGCCGUCCUGAGAGGGUGAUCGGCCACACUGGGACUGAGACACGGCCCAGACUCCUACGGGAGGCAGCAGUAGGGAAUCUUCGGCAAUGGACGGAAGUCUGACCGAGCAACGCCGCGUGAGUGAAGAAGGUUUUCGGAUCGUAAAGCUCUGUUGUAAGAGAAGAACGAGUGUGAGAGUGGAAAGUUCACACUGUGACGGUAUCUUACCAGAAAGAGACGGCUAACUACGUG
Molecule: ribosomal RNA, 495 nt
Filed under: uncultured bacterium
Lineage: Bacteria
Description: partial 16S ribosomal RNA
Rfam family: Bacterial small subunit ribosomal RNA
Source: RNAcentral